CGAGUGAUAAACGACGUGGUUAUCCUACGCGGACGAGUCUCAAUUAUGGCGCCACGUGUUCAGUUUACGCAAGAAAAAUUUUAGAAUGCAACGGGUAUAUUAAUGACGUGGCGUAACAAACCAAUCAAAAAAAAUUUUUUAGAAAUAUAUGUCCCAUUAUGAUUAUAAAAAAAUAUUUUUAUUGUAUUUUUAUUUGAGAAGAAGAAAGGUGAUUGGCUUGUUAUUGAUGACGUGGUGCAAGUGUGAUAGUGUAGAAUUUCUCGUUUACGCAACCGCGGGAUGUCACAAUCAGCUGUUGACGGAUCUGUUCGCUCCGCGUGUUCGUGAAACCAGCCAAAAAAAACAAUUAAUUAAUAAUUAGCAAAUAAAGAAUAAAAUAAAAUCUUGUUUUAGGGACCGUUUGGUUAUAUAUUGUUGCAACUAACUACAUGCAAAUGUAAAUUUAAUAUUUUGUUUGAUAUAUUUAAUUCAAAUUGCUGUAGUAGAAACUGCAGGAGGAGGCCCAACUGUAGCUCAUCAAACUACACCCAAAUUAGCCGUAGUUUCAACUAUAGCAGUUGGAGAGUAACUUUAAAUAAAAAAUAUGCUUUCCUGCUCAAUUAUUUUUUAAACAAAUUUUUUUUUUGACAUUUGAGAUAAUCUCACCAUCAUAUAUAUAAAAUAAUAAAAUUUUAAAUAUUAUUUCUUAUUUGCAUGCAACCAAACAAAUUAUUUAUACUUGCAGCGCUUUUUAUUAUAUCCAACCAAACAGGAUGCAUGUAGUUAUAACAACUGUAUUUUUAACUGUAUGUUUUUCUAAUUAUAUUAUAUUUAUAAUUAUAUCUAACUAAACAGUUCCUUGUCUCU
Molecule: long non-coding RNA, 846 nt
Filed under: Ananas comosus (pineapple)
Lineage: Eukaryota; Viridiplantae; Streptophyta; Magnoliopsida; Poales; Bromeliaceae
Description: long non-coding RNA (ACOM_LNC033993)
Source: RNAcentral